CGGGAGGCAGCAGUGGGGAAUAUUGGACAAUGGGGGCAACCCUGAUCCAGCCAUGCCGCGUGUGUGAAGAAGGCCUUUUGGUUGUAAAGCACUUUAAGCAGGGAGGAGAGGCUAAUGGUUAAUACCCAUUAGAUUAGACGUUACCUGCAGAAUAAGCACCGGCUAACUCUGUGCCAGCAGCCGCGGUAAUACAGAGGGUGCGAGCGUUAAUCGGAAUUACUGGGCGUAAAGCGAGUGUAGGUGGCUCAUUAAGUCACAUGUGAAAUCCCCGGGCUUAACCUGGGAACUGCAUGUGAUACUGGUGGUGCUAGAAUAUGUGAGAGGGAAGUAGAAUUCCAGGUGUAGCGGUGAAAUGCGUAGAGAUCUGGAGGAAUACCGAUGGCGAAGGCAGCUUCCUGGCAUAAUAUUGACACUGAGAUUCGAAAGCGUGGGUAGCAAACAGGAUUAGAUACCCUGGUAGUCCACGCCGUAAACGAUGUCUACUAGCCGUUGGGGUCCUUGAGACUUUAGUGGCGCAGUUAACGCGAUAAGUAGACCGCCUGGGGAGUACGGCCGCAAGGUUAAAACUCAAAUGAAUUGACGGGGGCCCGCACAAGCGGUGGAGCAUGUGGUUUAAUUCGAUGCAACGCGAAGAACCUUACCUGGUCUUGACAUAGUGAGAAUCUUUCAGAGAUGAGAGAGUGCCUUCGGGAAUUCACAUACAGGUGCUGCAUGGCUGUCGUCAGCUCGUGUCGUGAGAUGUUGGGUUAAGCCCCGCAACGAGCGCAACCCUCGUUCUAUGUUGCCAGCACGUGAUGGUGGGGACUCAUAGGAGACUGCCGGGGUCAACUCGGAGGAAGGUGGGGAUGACGUCAAAUCAUCAUGCCCCUUAUGACCUGGGCUACACACGUGCUACAAUGGUCGGUACAAAGGGUUGCUACCUAGCGAUAGGAUGCUAAUCUCAAAAAGCCGAUCGUAGUCCGGAUUGGAGUCUGCAACUCGACUCUAUGAAGCUGGAAUCGCUAGUAAUCGCGCAUCAGCCAUGGCGCGGUGAAUACGUUCCCGGGCCUUGUACACACCG
Molecule: ribosomal RNA, 1060 nt
Filed under: Aurantiochytrium limacinum
Lineage: Eukaryota; Bigyra; Thraustochytrida; Thraustochytriidae
Description: partial Bacterial small subunit ribosomal RNA
Rfam family: Bacterial small subunit ribosomal RNA
Source: RNAcentral